RNAcentral lists this ribosomal RNA (429 nucleotides) under bacterium. RNAcentral describes it as "partial 16S ribosomal RNA". It matches the Rfam family "Bacterial small subunit ribosomal RNA", at positions 355 to 776 of the family's 1533-position model. The record is from RNAcentral.
UAGGGAAUCUUCGGCAAUGGGGGCAACCCUGACCGAGCAACGCCGCGUGAGUGAAGAAGGUUUUCGGAUCGUAAAGCCCUGUUGUAAGAGAAGAACGUGUGUGAGAGUGGAAAGUUCACACAGUGACGGUAACUUACCAGAAAGGGACGGCUAACUACGUGCCAGCAGCCGCGGUAAUACGUAGGUCCCGAGCGUUGUCCGGAUUUAUUGGGCGUAAAGCGAGCGCAGGCGGUUUAAUAAGUCUGAAGUUAAAGGCAGUGGCUUAACCAUUGUUCGCUUUGGAAACUGUUAAACUUGAGUGCAGAAGGGGAGAGUGGAAUUCCAUGUGUAGCGGAGAAAUGCGUAGAUAUAUGGAGGAACACCGGUGGCGAAAGCGGCUCUCUGGUCUGUAACUGACGCUGAGGCUCGAAAGCGUGGGGAGCAAACAGG